Molecule: ribosomal RNA, 429 nt
Filed under: uncultured bacterium
Lineage: Bacteria
Description: bacterial SSU rRNA
Rfam family: Bacterial small subunit ribosomal RNA
Source: RNAcentral
GCGAAUGCUGGCGGCAGGCCUAAUACAUGCAAGUCGAGCGCACCUUCGGGUGAGCGGCGGACGGGUGAGUAACGCGUGGGAAUAUGCCCUUUGGUACGGAACAACUGAGGGAAACUUCAGCUAAUACCGUAUGUGCCCUUCGGGGGAAAGAUUUAUCGCCAUUGGAGUAGCCCGCGUUGGAUUAGCUAGUUGGUGGGGUAAAGGCCCACCAAGGCGACGAUCCAUAGCUGGUCUGAGAGGAUGAUCAGCCACACUGGGACUGAGACACGGCCCAGACUCCUACGGGAGGCAGCAGUAGGGAAUCUUGCGCAAUGGGCGAAAGCCUGACGCAGCCAUGCCGCGUGAAUGAUGAAGGUCUUAGGAUUGUAAAAUUCUUUCACCGGGGAAGAUAAUGACGGUACCCGGAGAAGAAGCCCCGGCUAACUUCGU